Molecule: ribosomal RNA, 814 nt
Filed under: uncultured bacterium
Lineage: Bacteria
Description: bacterial SSU rRNA
Rfam family: Bacterial small subunit ribosomal RNA
Source: RNAcentral
CUGCCGAUGCUUUAAAUGCAAGUCGAACGGCAGCACGGGGCAACCUGGUGGCGAGUGGCGAACGGGUGAGUAAUAUAUCGGAACGUGUCCGGAAGUGGGGGAUAGCUCGGCGAAAGCCGGAUUAAUACCGCAUAUGCCCUGAGGGGGAAAGGGGGGGAUCCGCAAGGACCUCUCGCUUUCGGAGUGGCCGAUAUCGGAUUAGCUAGUUGGUGAGGUAAAGGCUCACCAAGGCGACGAUCCGUAGCUGGUCUGAGAGGACGACCAGCCACACUGGAACUGAGACACGGUCCAGACUCCUACGGGAGGCAGCAGUGGGGAAUUUUGGACAAUGGGCGCAAGCCUGAUCCAGCCAUACCGCGUGAGUGAAGAAGGCCUUCGGGUUGUAAAGCUCUUUCAGCCGGAAAGAAAACGCAUCUCUUAAUACGAGGUGUGGAUGACGGUACCGGAAGAAGAAGCACCGGCUAACUACGUGCCAGCAGCCGCGGUAAUACGUAGGGUGCGAGCGUUAAUCGGAAUUACUGGGCGUAAAGCGUGCGCAGGCGGCUUUUUAAGCCAGAUGUGAAAUCCCCGGGCUUAACCUGGGAACUGCAUUUGGAACUGGAAGGCUAGAGUGUAGAAGAGGGGGGUAGAAUUCCACGUGUAGCAGUGAAAUGCGUAGAUAUGUGGAGGAAUACCGAUGGCGAAGGCAAUCCCCUGGACCUGUACUGACGCUCAUGCACGAAAGCGUGGGGAGCAAACAGGAUUAGAUACCCUGGUAGUCCACGCCCUAAACGAUGUCAACUGGGUUGUUGGGUGCAUUAGUACUCAGUAACGA